UUGCAUUUGAAGCCCAUGAGGAUGAGAACCUCCGGGGGCGGGGAGGUUCGACUCGAGCGAAGCGAGAGAACGUUGCGCCAGCAACGGCCCGCAGGGCGAGCCAC
RNAcentral lists this small RNA (104 nucleotides) under Escherichia coli. Its description in RNAcentral is "partial RtT sRNA". It matches the Rfam family "RtT RNA", at positions 1 to 99 of the family's 130-position model. From Rfam's summary of the family: This family represents a bacterial cis-regulatory element known as RtT RNA. The exact function of RtT is unknown although it is thought that it may be involved in changing the cellular response in relation to amino acid starvation. The record is from RNAcentral. RNAcentral also lists the same sequence under 1 other name. Lineage: Bacteria; Pseudomonadati; Pseudomonadota; Gammaproteobacteria; Enterobacterales; Enterobacteriaceae.